UCGCGCUAGGUGGGGAGUCAGCGGUUCCCUGAACCCGAAAUCCGCUCCAGCGGGACCGAACGCCGUCCGAGGGCGGCGGUCACGGGCAUGGGUCAUCGACACGUGGCGUUGACGGUCGGGUCCCGCGCACUGGGAGCGUUCGAACCGCGUCAGGUCCGGAAGGAAGCAGCGCUAAGGACUCCCUCCCAGGUGCCGCGGCACCGCCCGGCCCGAGCAGGCGGCGGCGACACCACCCGGGAUCGCCUGCACGACGACGGAGCGCGC
RNAcentral lists this signal recognition particle RNA (264 nucleotides) under Gaiella sp. RNAcentral's name for it is "signal recognition particle sRNA large type". It matches the Rfam family "Bacterial large signal recognition particle RNA". Rfam says of the family: The signal recognition particle (SRP) is a universally conserved ribonucleoprotein involved in the co-translational targeting of proteins to membranes. Archaeal SRP consists of a 7S RNA and homologues of the eukaryotic SRP19 and SRP54 proteins. The record is from RNAcentral. Lineage: Bacteria; Bacillati; Actinomycetota; Thermoleophilia; Gaiellales; Gaiellaceae.